This is an unclassified non-coding RNA of Ursus americanus (American black bear), 330 nucleotides long. Its record names the gene 7SK. It matches the Rfam family "7SK RNA". Rfam says of the family: 7SK was discovered as an abundant small nuclear RNA in the mid-70s but a possible function has only recently been suggested. The record is from Ensembl. NCBI's taxonomy places the organism in Eukaryota, Metazoa, Chordata, Mammalia, Carnivora, Ursidae.
GGAUGUAAGGGCAGUCUGGCUGUGACAUCUGUCACCCCAUUGAUCGCCAGCAUUAAUAAUGGCUGAUCUGGCUGGCUAGAUCGGUGUCCCCUUCCUCCCUCAUGGCUCCGUGUGUGUCCCUCCCAAAGCUGUGCCCUUAGUCGAAGAGGAAGACCUUCCCAAUAGAGGAGGACCAUUCUUUGGUCAAGGGUAUGCAAGUAGCUGUGUUACCUGCUAGAACCUCCAAAAAGGCUCUCAAGGUCCAUUUGCAGGAGAAUGUAGGGUAGUCAGGCUUCUAAGACUCCAAACACAUCCAAAUGAGGCACUACAUGUGGCAGUCUGUCAUUCUUC